GAGUCAUAGCCAAGUGGUAAGGCACGGGACUGCAACUCCCUGAGCGUUGGUUCAAAUCCGACUGGCUC
RNAcentral lists this transfer RNA (68 nucleotides) under bovine gut metagenome. It matches the Rfam family "tRNA". Rfam says of the family: Transfer RNA (tRNA) molecules are approximately 80 nucleotides in length. Their secondary structure includes four short double-helical elements and three loops (D, anti-codon, and T loops). The record is from RNAcentral.